AUGGGGAAGAAGUCAGGGACCCAGCCUCCACUGUAUCCACCUCCCAGAAGGAAGCCUAUCUACUGCAAAGCAGUCCUCUAAACACAGGAAGCAAGAACCUCAUUCCCUGGAGCCUUUCUUUGCCAUCCAGACUAGCAAAGAUGUUCCUGCUGUGCUCAUUGGAACUGGUGCUAUGAUUACCAUCUUUGGUUUCUUUGGAUGCUUUUCUGCAUGCCGAGGAGACCCAUGGAUGCUGAAGUUGUAUUCUCUGUUUCUGUCACUGGUGUUCCUGGCUGAGCUUGUUGCUAGCGUCUCAGGGGUUUUACUUCACUAUGAGAUCAAGGACAGAUUCCUGAAGAUUUAUACCAAUGCUAUACAGAAUUAUCACAACAAUGAUAGGAAGAGCCAGGCAGUGGACCAAUUGCACUAUAUUCUGAAGUGCUGUGGGGCGAAGAACUACACAGACUGGAAUGGCAACCCUUACUUCCUGAAUCAUGGUAUCCCCCACAGUUGCUGCAAGGAUGAAACUGACUGUAAUCCCCAGGAUCUACGCAAUCUGACCACAGCUGCCACCAAAGUUAACCAGAGGGGCUGUUAUGUUGUAAUGAUAAGUUUCUUGGAGGAAAACAUGGCCAUCAUCAUUGGAGUGCUAUUUACAGUCACAUUUUCCCAAUUGGUUGGCAUGAGGUUGUCCUGUUGUCUGUCCCGGCUCAUCAUGACCCAACACUAUGAGACAGUGUGCAAAGUUUUCCGAGAGAAAUAGAGUAAGAAGCCUGUUUCCAAGAAGAAUGACUACAUCCUCUGAAAGACUUGCAAAGAACAUUAGUGCACAGAACUCAUCUGCCCUGCUCUCAUGGCUGUCUUCCUCAGGGCAAACCCUAUACAUGUUGCUGGCACUCCUACUUCAUCUCUGCUCCAACUUUUAGACCACAUGAAGUGUCUUGUUCAUCUCAUGAAGCCCUGCUGUGUUACAGUGUCACCACCUGCAGCUAGUUGUAGUGAACCCCACCUUAUAGCCCUGUGUGUGUGAGCUCUUCCUCAUGUAUCGGGUCCAAAUGCAGGUUAUUGUGGGAGGCUAGUUAUCACAUCAUCACUGGCCUCUUGUGGCCCUGAAUGAAGUAUGGGAGGCUGCCAGCCCUUUAUCAUGGUCCAUAAAAGCCACAGACCAUUCUAGAGAUAACCAUA
Molecule: RNA transcript, 1164 nt
Organism: Mastomys coucha (southern multimammate mouse)
Lineage: Eukaryota; Metazoa; Chordata; Mammalia; Rodentia; Muridae
Gene name: tetraspanin-7 pseudogene
Exons: 2
Source: RefSeq, a predicted model, not a curated record